CUCUGUCUCUGUCUCAAAAUUAAUAAACAUUAAAAAAUUAAAAAAAAAGAUAAUAUCAAGAUGUUUUAAUAUGUUUAGUUAAAAAACUAAAAUGUGCACAGAAGCUCAAAACUUUUUCUGAUAUCACUGAGGUCUAGGAGACAUGGUGAUAUGGCACAUUCCUGCCAUAGUGAGAUUUUGAAAGUUGGGCCACAAAUGAUAUUUCUUGUAUCUUGUUUACUAAAGGCUUUAGGUCAGUAUAGGAUUCUUUCCAUUUCAUAUUUAUUAACAAUUAUGCAUUUGUAACACUUGGAGGGAAGUGUUGCCUAAGAGUAGAGGAACUAUUCAUUUCUACAUCCAGUGUAGUUCUUUUUCUGUCAAGCAAAUGGAAUAAGCACACCUCGAUUCAUACACACUUCAUACAAGUAGAACUUGUUUCGGUGUUAAAUCAGGUAUUAAAUAUAUUUUGUCUCUUGGGUGGGGUUGAAACAGUUAGGAAUUCAAGACUAAAAGGGGUAGUGUUAACAUGAAGGUAUAGAAUAAAGGUACUUCUUUAACUGGUAACAAGGCCUGUAUUUCAGACAUCGGGAAUGCAAACAAACAUGUCUAUAAUAUAAUGUGUUUAAAUUCUUACCUGUUUUGUUUGUGUCCUCACAGAAGCUUAAUAAGAAACUAGUUUUACUAGUGAAUUUAUAGUUGUGCUAGUACCUGUGACACUGUAUUUUGUUAUUAUUUUUGCUAAAGGAAUGUAACUUGGCAGCCCCUCUUUGGCUCUGAGAAUCUGUUGUGAUUUAUGGCAAUUUACCUCCCUACCUCCAUCCACCCUGCCAGAAGUCUCUGGGCCUGUUGCCUGUUGUUGUUGUUGGUUUUUUUUUCCUCGCUAAGAUAAUAUCCUGAACUUCUGAAUCAUAUAAGGUAGUGAUUUUGAACAACAGCAAGGUGAAGGAAGUAAGAAAUAAUCCUUUAAAUGGCUGUAUGGCUGGAUUGCAUGGGAACAUAGUAGAGGCAUUCCUCUCCUUGAGUCACAAUUGUUCCUAGGAAGCCUCAGUGUUCAGAAAAUAGUGUUUUCUCACAGGAAUAAGUUAUUGGAGUUCAUAUUUCUUCCCAAGAAUGUUCAAAGAGGCAUAAAUGGUAUAUUAUGAAAGCAGAGGUACCAUUUGUUUAGGACUCCAUUUGCUGAAUGUGAAAACCACAUUUCCUGUUCUGUAUAAAUGUACAUGCUUGUUCAGCCAGGAACCGUCAAUUACAUAUGACAGAAAGCACACAGUUAUCCUAUAUUUGGUUCCUAAUAGAGUUGGUACCCAACAUAGUGCUCCACACAUUAGAUACACAUAUUAGAUGCUCAUUAAAUGUUAUCUGAGACUAAUAUUACUUAAUGCAACUCCAGAACAAACUUUAAGUAACACUUGUGUUUCAUUUUUACUUUUUCAAUUUUUUUUUUCCCAAGUAAGGUUGAAUUUCAGUGCUCUUUUCCUUUUUCUUUAAAUUUCUCUAAGACAAGUAGAGUAAUUCCAAAUCAGUUUUUUUUGAAUAUUCUUAUCAGUGCUCAUUCAGCUUUCUUUUCCACUGAAACGCCUUUCCAGCACCUGCUUUUUCAGACCCUGUGCUUUGUACUGGGAAGAUAGUGCUAAAUAAGAAAUGGUUGUAGUGUUUGAGGGGAAGCCAGAUGAAGGUUAGCAGGUUUGCAUUUGAGACCAAAGUGAUGCAGUUAAAUCGGUUUCUUUUCCUGCAGUCCUGAGGGGCCUUCUGGCUGGCCUACUCUUGGGGACUUUGCCCUUCAUUAGUGAGCCACAAUGACAAAUCCCAAGCCAAUUAAAUGAGACUUUUAAAAAGGAAUUUCCUACUAUCCCAGAAUUGGGAAGAAGGCAUGAAUUGGCCAUGUAUAAGCAUUCGUGUGGCCUUAUGGGUAGAAUAGAGUAGGUGAAACUACGUCUUGGCUGUCAAUCAGGCAAAACCAUUGAGAGGCAGGGGUUAUUAGUCGACACAACAGAAAAACUAAUGGUCGAAGUGUAUUACAGCAUGAGCUGAGAUAUGAGAGUAUGAAUAUUAGACAUGACACUAACCAGGAGGAAGAAAAUGUGGGUUUCUGUCCUGAGGUUAAUCAAAGGAUAAAAAUUAAAUGACAUUUUGAGAAAAAACCUGAAACAACUCCUUAGUGGCCAAGUAACAUAAAUUAUGAUAUGUAAACUGUGAAGAUAUUUAUUCAACAUCUCCUUCCCUCUUAAAAAUAUCCCUCCCCGUCUCAGUAUAUUUAUGGAGUUAUAAUACAGAAAUGGUAUAGGCAGUGUAUUAGCUCAGGCUGCCAUAACAAAAUACUACAGGAUUGGGUGGCUUAAACCAAAGAAAUGUUAUUUUCUUACAGUUAUGGAGGUUGGGAGUCCAAGGUAAAGGUGACAGCAUUGUUGGUUUCUGGUGAAAGUCCCCUUCCUGGCUUGCAGAUGGCCACCUUCUUGCUGUGUCCUCCCAUGGCUUUUCCUCUGUACAGAGCUCUCGAGGCUCUUCCUCUUCUUACAGGAACACCCGUCUUACCAGCUCCACCCCCAUGACUUCAUUUAACCUUAAUUAUCUCUUUAAAGGCCCUGUCUCCAAAUACAGUUUCAUUGGGGUUACACAUGCAUUUCAGCACGUGAAUUUUCGGGAACAUAGGCAGCCGUAUUUUGGACCAUUUGUUUAUCUCAAGGUAAAGAAGAUUAUAUUUUUCCAUAGGAACAAAUGGUUGGAGUCUACAUUCCUUCUUCCUAAGGAUGCUGAAAGAAACACAAAUGGUUCAGUUCUUUUUUUCUGAACCCAGGAAUCCAGGAUGAUUCAAAACCCCUUGUGCCCUUGUAUAAAGUUAUACAGACCAUCUGUAUUUAUUUUUCUUCAUGUAUUUACUCUAUAUACUUUUUCAAACAGUAUAAUGAAACUUCAGUGCUUGAAUUAUGGUAUCUGGAGAGUUUGGGAAUUUUUUAUUUAUCUUUAAAAGCAAGAGUUACGCUUCUUAAGUAUUUUGGUCUCAGGACCCCUUUUAUACUCUUACAAAUUAUUGUGAAUCUCUAGGAGAUUUUGUUUAUAUGUCUAGAUAUUUACUGUACUAGAAAUUAGCACUGAAAAUUUUUUU
Leopardus geoffroyi (Geoffroy's cat) is the source of this 3079-nucleotide long non-coding RNA. RefSeq lists it as uncharacterized. The record is from RefSeq and is a predicted model, not a curated record. The transcript is spliced from 2 exons. NCBI's taxonomy places the organism in Eukaryota, Metazoa, Chordata, Mammalia, Carnivora, Felidae.